Molecule: long non-coding RNA, 2073 nt
Organism: Peromyscus eremicus (cactus mouse)
Lineage: Eukaryota; Metazoa; Chordata; Mammalia; Rodentia; Cricetidae
Exons: 3
Source: RefSeq, a predicted model, not a curated record
CGUGGUUUGGUGUAGCAGGACAGGAAGCUGGAGUUGGCAUUUAGUAUCUGGCUCCUUUCUUCCUUUUCUGCCUCUACCCUUUCUUCCUUUCCCAGCCAGCUGGCCAGCCAAUGUGUGCCAGGUACUGUGUUAAAUGAGCCAGAGAAGUGCAGUAAAAAGGGCUUUGGGGUGUGGUUCUGUUGGAAGAGUGCUUGCCUCUGGUGCAGAAAGUUCUGGGUGUGAGAUUGAGGUCAGGGAGGCCCCAGAGCUGGAUCUGAGAGUGAGCAGGGCGUAGCCAGAAGGAAAGGGAAACUAUACCAACUGGGGGGCAGCUGGGCAAAGACGAGGCUGCCUGCACAGGCCCUGGGCUCAGGCUUGGAUGAAAAUCCUGGGGUCACUGCUGACCUCUGCACAGACUCGAUGGUCUUUCAUCCCCUGAGUCUUGAUUGUCCCCAGAUCAGCACUACAAGGAGACUUCCUGCAGGCGUGACAUGAAGAUGCCGUGAGCUGAAGUGAGCAAAGUCGAAGCAUGGAGCCCAGGCCCAGUCAGUGAUCUGACCCAACACGACACCUCUCGGUAAUAAUGCACAAGUAAGGCAAAGAAUGAAAAGCUAACAGAAAAUUUGUGCCAGAAGAUGGGGUCAGUACUGUAACAUCCACGAGAGCAGCAGCAGAGGAGACCAGGAACCCUGGAGACACUGAUGAGUGACUCUGGUGAGAAUUCUGAGGACUGGAAUGUGACAGUCGAGGUGACGCUCGGGAUCAGAGCAGAGCGAUAACAGAACUGGGAACAGGAGCAGAGGCCAUCCAUGUUACAUACUUGGACAAGAAUUUGAGUGUUUCAUGUGUGUGUCCUGAGACUAGGGAAAGUCUAAGUUUAAAGGUGAUAGGCCAGCUGAUCAGGUAGAAGACAUUGCAGGGAGCUCAGGAUUCAGACUGUGACACGAGCCUUGCCGGCUGCCUUUAAGUUCUACAGCGGGAACUGGGAGCAAAGGCUGAGGUGGAAAGGUUUGAAAAGCAGGUGGUGUGUCCAGGAAAGGAGCGCAUCUCACUGCUGAUGAGAGGGUGUCGUUACUAACAAGGUCAGUGCUGCGGAAGAGAAGCCGUGGAGUUUAUAUCUGGACAAGAGGAGAGACGAUCUGAGGAAUCUCAGGAUCAGCACGACCUCACUCAUCCCAGGCUCAAGGGUAUAAAAGUGCAAACUCCAUUCGGAGACUUUCCUGAGUGUUGGAGAAGUGGCUCAGCGGGUGAAAUGCUUUCUACGUAGGCUUAAUAAUCAGCGGUAGAGCCCGGCAACUCCAUGGUACAGUCCACAGCUGUGCAGGAGUCAGAGAAACAACUGGGGUCUGGUAUGUGAGCAAGGACUGCACCAGACUCCAUCAGUGCCACACAACACCUGGCCAGAGAUGCAGCGACAGAGAGCAAGGAAACCGAGGCUUGAGAGGAACCCAGUAAAUCAACAGGACAUGAGCCUCGCCCCUUGGGUUCAGCAGAACCUUGAAAAGCCAUCCAUGUCUUUUGAAAUCUCAGAAGCAGGAAAUAAGCACUCGACUUCCCUCACCCUGUGGGCUCCUGAGCAUGUUGCAGGGAGGCCGACUGCAGGAGGAGAUUGCCCACCUCCACUCAAGAACACUCACGCUCGGCACUGGCCCAGCUCUAACAGCUGUCAACAGUAGCCAAUAGGGCAUGACUUGGGGUCCGGAGUCAGGGCUGGCUGUCACCGGCUCCCGUGGACAGCAUGACUCUGUUCCACUGUCCCUCCAGUCCACGGAUCACAAAGGGUGAAUGAUACAGUCGGACGCAGUUUCUGACAUCUGCCAGUGGUGCUGUUAAUCAGGUUGUGUGAGGAAGCAGCAGCAGGCAUGAGCUGUGGCUGCAGAGGAACUAAUCAAGGGGCGUUUCCUGGCGGUGGUGGUGACGCUUGCCUGUAAUCUCAGGACUCUGGAGACAGAGGCAAGAGGACCACCACACAUUUGAGGCCAGCCUGGUCUUCAAAGGGAGCUCAAGGACAGCCAGGAUUAGAGUAUGAAAUCCUGUCUCCGUACAAGGAGGAGGCAGAGCUGUCCCUUAUCACUGCUGUAAAAGUGACCACAU